This is a non-coding RNA of Paramuricea clavata, 3342 nucleotides long. Lineage: Eukaryota; Metazoa; Cnidaria; Anthozoa; Malacalcyonacea; Plexauridae. The record is from the annotation of a GenBank genome assembly.
GCCUUAAAACCAUCGUUCAAAAGGCUGAACUGUGCCUUUAAAUGUAUCUGGCCGUUGAGGAAUGCAAAAUAAUAAGGGACCGGUCAUUAUUUAUGGUGGGGGGUGGCACCGAAGAGAAAUGUUUUUCGUGCCAAAAAUUUUGCUGACCCAACCAUUAAAAAAUAAAAAAUUUGAUUACCCAACCUCAAGUAUCAUUUAAAAAAUAAAUACCCACCCCUGGCCAAAAACGUUACAAAAGGAUGUCAUUCAGUUGUCACACAUGUCCUUUACCACUUCUGUGACACGAGUUUGAUAACGUUCGGCUUGUGAAAUUUACUGACUUUUCUCCAGUCUAAAGUUUCAUGUUGUCUGCACAUCUACUUUCUUUGGAGACACCAUUAAUUUGUCUCCCAACAAAUCGGAAAAUGAUCAAGAUAGUGACUCUGAUCAUAGCCAAUCCAGAAGACAUGCCAGACAAUCAGAGCAUAGACAAUCAAGGACUGUCUUCUGGAUUGUCUAUGCUCUGAUUGAUUCACAUAUUGUAUUGACGUAUGACUGUUGACAUUGACGUUUUCAGUCUUCAAUAUUUGAGUGAGUCAUGCUUUGGAAAUGACAAUAAAUUUUUAUUACCCAACCCUUGAGCUGUUUCUUUUUUCAUUUACCCAACCUUUUACUCACUCAAAAUUUUGUUUACCCAACCCUUUUCUCUUCGGUGCCACCCCCCGCCAUAAAUAAUGACCGGUCCCUAAAGAAGGAAUUCGUUUCGGAAAUUUAUUCAAGAUCUUAUCAAACAAUGCAGUGCUUUUACAAUAUAUACUUGAGAAACUAUCUAAAAAUACCCAAAGCAUCAUAUAUUCAUAAUAUAAAUACAUUAAAUAAAUCUACAACAGAAUUUAAAUUCAAUCGGUCAAAAUCCAUUAAGUUUGUCCUACUACUCCACAAUAUUAAUAUACUAUACAAAAACGAUAAAAUGAAAACUAUUUACACACGACCGGAAGUUGCGCAGAAAAAAAUAGUCAUGUCGCUGAGUAUUCAUUGUAUGGCAUCGCGGGCUCAGUACAGAAUUUUCCCGCGCUUUUUGCUCUGCUUUAUUUCGACUUAUUUGUGGCGAAAUAAAGCUCAAAUUGUACGUUUAAAAUUUAUGCGUGAGACACGUAAUAUUGUUUCCUGGCUUAUAGCCUUUUCUUUACCUCAAAUUUCUACCAAUAAAUCCAAAAUAUAUCUUGAAAUUAUCAGUAUGUUCGCUUCAUCGAUAUUUUACUAUACGCGUCAGCAUGUACAAUCAACGCAUGCUCAGUUAACUAUCACUAAUUUGUGACCGCAAUUUCCCACCGUGUCGACCUUAAAAGGCUGAACUGGAACGCUACAUCAAAUUGAGGGUUUGCGUGGUAUCCCAGCUCCCUCGAGCACAAGAAAAAAACGAGACCGAAAGUUGCAUAUUAGAAUGGCCAUAUUUCCCGUCUCAUUCAUACUGUGGCUUCUCUGUAGUAUGAAAUUCACUAUCAGUGACAAUUUUGUCAACACGGACAUCACACGAAAAUCAGUUUAGAGACCUUACGAUUUUAGGACGGCAACGGCUACCAAUAUACAAUAAACCAUUGAAAAGAAUUGAAUAAUUACAAUAUAUGAAUAAUUUAGACAUUGUCCUCGCUCUGUUUAGAACGCCAAAUCACAGAUUUUGACGUCUUGAUACAACGGCUGCAUUUCAAGCCGCAACAACUUCAAACUGGGUUUAGCAGAACUCUUCCCAACUAUAAAACCCAUGUCUUCAACUUCUACAACUGUAUUAAAUUCAUACGAUUGAUAAUAUACGACGAAUUAUCUUUACUACCAUUUAUUUGAAGGAGUUGUUUUGGCCGUCGUCGUCGCGUUGCCGUCCUAAAAUCGUAAGGUCUCUUUUAAUUCAUUUUUGCGGCAUUUUGCAUCAGAGCGCUCGUGUAAGGAAGAAAAAAAACUUUCAAAAAUUUUUAUGUUUUGUGAUAUGUGUUGAAGAUUACCACAAACUGAUACAAACAAAGUUUUUAAUCCAGUUCUCCCUCGGCAAUCUGACGUCCGUCUUGACAAAAACGUGGUUUCUUUAUGAAAUUAAGAAAUGUUGAUUAAAUUAAGAAAAUUCCUGGCUUAAACAAAUCAUUUUCUUUAAGGGUAGCGUCCCAGUUAAUAUUUGAUUUAAGUGCAAAUUACGCUAUCGGUUCAGAAUCAAAGCAGAGCGGGUCAGUGUCGUCAUUCAUUGCCAGGUCAUUAUAACGAGCGAUUCUCUGCCGUUUGCCACGCACAAUCCAGACAAUUACAGCGAUCAGUAUGACAAAGAAAAUCACGACACCAAUCACAAUAGCAGCGAUUGCUCCACCAGAUAAAGAUUUACCUGAAGAAAAAGAAUACAUUGAAUUAAAUUAACUUUAUUUACACUGGAUAGCUCUGUCAGUUCUUGACUGUUGUUCCUAGAGUCCAGGAAGGAUCGUCUCUUAUUGAUCCAGUGUUACUACAGGAGGAAACCUAAACUAAACUAACUUUAUUUAUACUGGAUAGCUCUGUCAGUUCUUGACUGUUGUUCCUAGAGUCCAGUAAGGAUCCUCUCUUAUUGAUCCAGUGUUACUACAGGAGGAAACCUAAACUAAACUAACUUUAUUUAUACUGGAUAGCUCUGUCAGUUCUAAACUGUUCUUCCUAGAGUCCAGGAAGGAUCGUCUCUUAUUGAUCCAGUGUUAUUACAGGAGGAAACCUAAACUAAACUAACUUUAUUUAUACUGGAUAGCUCUAUCAGUUCUAAACUGUUUUCCUAGAGAUCUAGUAAGGAUAAUCUCUUAUUGAUCCAGUGUUACCACAGGAGGAAACCUAUACUAAUGGCUAUAAACCACGACGCGUGAAUCACGACUUUCGAAUUUCACGAGUUGUUGAAUGCGACAGUAUUGGACAUGUUUGAAACUUAAGCCCCGUUUACACUACGCUCAAUUUUUGGUACGGCACGGAUAAAAUUGGUACCCGUACCACUUUUUUGGUUCUUGGACUACAUAUUCAGGUAGUCCAAGAACCAAAAAGUGAUACGGUACCAAAAAUUGAGCGUAGUGAAAAAGGGGCUUUAACUGACUUUAUUGGAUAGCUCUAUCAGUUCUAAACUGUUCUCCUUAGAGAUCCAGUAAGGUCAUCUAUUAAUCCAGCGUUAUUACAGGUUUAACUACCUUUUUCUACUGGAUAGCUCUACUAGUUCCAACACGUUCGUCCUACGAGUAAGGAUGAACCUUUAUUGCUCCAGUGUUACUACAGGGAGAAACUAAAACUAAACUAAUUUGGAUACUAGCUUUAUCUUUCCUUCCUUCCUUCCUUCCUCCCUUCCUCCCUCCCUUCCUCCCUCCCUCCCUCCCU